GACGGAGGAGGAACGCGUUAUCCGGAAUUAUUGGGCGUAAAGGGUACGUAGGCGGCUGGUCAAGUCUGGGGUUAAAGGCCACAGCUCAACUGUGGGAAGGCCCUGGAAACUGACCGGCUAGAGUGAGGUAGGGGUUCCGGGAAUUCCCGGUGUAGCGGGGAAAUGCGUAGAGAUCGGGAAGAACACCUGAGGCGGAAGCGCGCAACUGGGCCUCAACUGACGCUGAGGUAUGAAAGCUAGGGGAGCGAAUGGG
RNAcentral lists this ribosomal RNA (253 nucleotides) under uncultured bacterium. RNAcentral's name for it is "partial 16S ribosomal RNA". It matches the Rfam family "Bacterial small subunit ribosomal RNA", at positions 524 to 776 of the family's 1533-position model. The record is from RNAcentral.